Molecule: ribosomal RNA, 399 nt
Filed under: uncultured bacterium
Lineage: Bacteria
Description: partial 16S ribosomal RNA
Rfam family: Bacterial small subunit ribosomal RNA
Source: RNAcentral
AAUAUUGCGCAAUGGGGGAAACCCUGACGCAGCGACGCCGCGUGAACGAUGAAGGCCUUCGGGUCGGAAAGUUCUGUUCUCAGGGAAGAAUAAAUUGACGGUACCUGAGGAGGAAGCCCCGGCUAACUACGUGCAAGCAGCCGCGGUAAUACGUAGGGGGCAAGCGUUGUCCGGAAUUAUUGGGCGUAAAGGGUGCGUAGGCGGCCUUUUAAGUCAGAUGUGAAAUCCCAAGGCUUAACCGUGGGUUUGCAUUUGAAACUGUUAGGCUUGAGGGCAGGAGAGGAAAGCGGAAUUCCCAGUGUAGCGGUGAAAUGCGUAGAUAUUGGGAGGAACACCAGUGGCGAAGGCGGCUUUCUGGACUGCACCUGACGCUGAGGCGCGAAAGCUAGGGGAGCGAAC